GGAAGUGUGGCCGAGUCCGGUUUAUGGCGCUAGUCUUGAAAACUAGAGUGGGUAACACCACCGGGGGUUCGAAUCCCUCCGCUUCCGC
This 88-nucleotide transfer RNA is filed under the name Streptomyces phage BillNye. RNAcentral describes it as "tRNA-Ser". It matches the Rfam family "tRNA". Rfam says of the family: Transfer RNA (tRNA) molecules are approximately 80 nucleotides in length. Their secondary structure includes four short double-helical elements and three loops (D, anti-codon, and T loops). The record is from RNAcentral. RNAcentral also lists the same sequence under 1 other name. Lineage: Duplodnaviria; Heunggongvirae; Uroviricota; Caudoviricetes; Stanwilliamsviridae.